Non-coding RNA from Salvia hispanica, 2862 nucleotides. NCBI's taxonomy places the organism in Eukaryota, Viridiplantae, Streptophyta, Magnoliopsida, Lamiales, Lamiaceae. The record is from RefSeq and is a predicted model, not a curated record.
CAUAAUAAAUCGUCAACCUUAUAAUUUCACAUUUUCUAAGAAAGCUAUCCAUAAACAAACAUAUAAAAAGGUUUAAUCAUGAAUUGACGAAAUAUCCACCCAUUCCAAAUCAAGAAUACCGAAAACACCGAAAUCAAGUAUGUAAUGGCCUUUGGAGGCGGCUUUGCGGAGAGCUCCGAAAUCGGCAAUCAGAAAAAAAGCAAAAUUAAUCACUUUUCCAAUGAAAACAGAAUCGGAAGCACAAAGCCGUACUAUGAUGCCAUCGUUAAUGUAAAGGCUAAAACUACUGGGCAGCCGCAGAAAACCUGCGGGUAUUUCAGAGCCACGAACUUUUCAUUAGUUCAAGCUCUCCCCUUUUUGCGUUUUAGCCCAAUGUUGAAUACGGAAAAUACAAAAAAAAAUCAUACAAACGAAAUAGAGAAGGGGUGUGCCAGCUGCGGAAGGAACCAUAAACCCUAAUUAAUCUGCAGAGGAUGGGCCUUUAUUUAUAGAUAUGUGGGUGAAUCGCGUAAUUGCAUAGACACCCUUCUACUCUGCUUAUAUUGCUAUUUAGUCAUGCUCUUUUUGCGAUUUCAUCUUUUUGAACAAAUUUAAAUUUAGCCCCAAUUACUCGCAAUACUCAGCUGCCCAAAGCGGUUGCCAUGGCCAAUGCCGCUUGUAUUUAAUUUUACAAUUUCAUCUCCUAUCGUGCCUCAUUCUGAAUGCCUUAGGUGAAUUUGUUAUGUUCAAUCAUUCGAUUUACUUUUUCUUCAGUAGAUUGACAGCUUUUAUGCUGAUGUUUAAUUCGAUAAGGAGUCAAUUUGAAAAGAUUAUGCCUUUCAUCUGUGUUUAGUGUAUAUUCUACAGUUUUCCCCUAAUAUAAAUGACUCAAAGGCUGCAUCAUCUUGGCAGCUCUGCUUCAGUCUGUUAUGACAUCAUUGGAUUUACAAUUGUGUAUCAUGCUAUGGGGGGUUGCCUACAUUUAUUCUCUGGUUUAAGUUGUAUCGUUUUUUGAAUACCGAUACAGCAUUUCCUGUCUAUGAGUAGUUGACUGCUGCUGCCAAAACAGUUUCAUUUCUCAUGCUUUGUUGCCAAAUCCACAGUUAUCAUAACUAGUUUAUUCUCAUCGUUUUAUGUAAUCAUAAUUUGAAAAUGGUAUCUACCUUUUACAUUUACUUAUACUUUAUAUUAGAUUCGAAUGUUGUUACCUAUGUGCAAAUAUGACACAAAUUCUCUUCUGGCCUUACUGGAAGUUUAGCCUGGAGCCUCAUCUAGUAUGCCCUUGUAAGUUAUUAGUUGUCAGAGUAGGAAAUUAAUGGAACAACCUUGACGAACCUCAAAUAAUUCUACCUUGUAUAUGGCAUUGAAGUAUAUCAUAAUUCCAAGAAGUAGUUUGUUUCUGUAUGAGAUACUUUAGAGGGUUAACUACUUUGGUACCUAUUUUCUCUUGGAAAUUUUAUUCGGCCAAGCUCAUGCUUUUAUGUAGGCUUUGAUAACACAAAACUAAAUAUUGUCCGAUAGGGUCUCAGAGAUAAAUGCUUACAGCAUGCUGUGAAUUUAUAAGUUGAGAGAGCAGGAGUAUCUUUGUCAGAUGUCUGAGGUCAUUGGCUUUUAAAUUAUUACAAUUACAAUUGAAGUUUUGAUUUAUGAUGGAAUAUCUUGUGAAGAUCCUUCAUUUCUAUGCAGAUUUAGCAAUUUUCUUGCACCGAUUAAUUUUACAUCAUGCUUUCGGUCAAAUAAGUUUCCUGAAAAGUUGUUAAAGGUUUAGCCGUUUAGAUGUGUUUGAAAAGCUAAAUGUCUCAAGAGCUGUAAUAGAUGCUUGCAAAUGUUGCAUAAGAUGACCUAUCUGGCCUUGGAAUUCCCUAUAUAUAGUUCUUAAGGUGAUGCUGAUGUGGGAUGACUGUGGUAGCAUUUUUGUCAUGCAUGGAGGUAAUUGGAUCUGAAUUCCAGCAUUUAUGGUUCCAACAGAGCUGCUAGCAAUCCUGUUAGCACCUUCUUGGCUUGCUUGAGAAAGUUGAGUAUGCCAUUGCAAAGCCUCUCGUUUCUCUAUUGACAGGGUCUCCAAGCUGGGGAUAUCUCCAUGGUCAUUGGAACUCAUUUUUUAAUAGCUGAAAAGGUGGAAUUUUCACUUUCGCGCAUGGCUGCUGUAGACGAGCAACAGUGCUUUGGUGUUGUUCAGAGAAGAUCCUUCAACACCAAGUUAGAUCAACUUGUUCUGAAUGACUCAGCAAAAAGUGAUGUCAGCCAGACCGAUACCAAGGUCGCUUGCUCUUCUAUUUGAAAUUAUUACAAGAUUUGAUCGCCCAUUGAGACAUAUAUUUAUGAGGAAACGAAGUUGGAUUUCAUAAGGUUUACCAGUGACUUGCUCGGUAAGAAACAGCCCGGCCAUCUUCGUCGUUACGAGGUUGGAGAUAGCUGCAUUGUAUUGUUUGUUGGGGGUAGCAGAAAGUUGUAAUGAUUCCCAGAACUGAAAGUAUGAACAAGGUACUGUUUGAAGGUGGUCUCUCUCAUGAGUCAUGACUCACCUCAUCUGAUGUGUGCAUAAUCAAGGGAGAGCAGAGCAGAGCAGAAGGAGGAGCAAGGUGUUGAAGUGGGGCCCAACUGUUGUCCACUGAUACUGCAGUGUUGGCUGCCGACUACAAGACCAAUAUGUGGGGCCCUUCGUCUCCCUAAUUUUAUGGGACUUUGGCCCAGCAAAAUCAUUAGUACUAGUACAUAUUAGGUGCGCCUAAAUACCAUCCUAUUUUCAACUUUUUUUUAAGUUUUUAAAUAAUCAAUAAAUUGCCAUUAUACAUAAACGUAGAAACUAGUGCUACUUAUUUUGUACUAUGAAGUGACUGGCAUCGAAUUAAUAAUGGUAUUGAAAUUAUUGUUGUGCGUGCA